RNAcentral lists this ribosomal RNA (453 nucleotides) under Woollsia root associated fungus XXIV. RNAcentral's name for it is "eukaryotic LSU rRNA". The stretch from base 111 to 263 matches the Rfam family "5.8S ribosomal RNA". The record is from RNAcentral. Lineage: Eukaryota; Fungi; Ascomycota.
CGGCGGGUGUCGCGGCGCGGGUCUUCCCGCACCGGGGCGCUAAGCCCGCCGGCAGCCUACUAUACUCUGUUUCUCUGCGUUGGCAUCUCGAGAAAAAACAAACAAGUUAAAACUUUCAACAACGGAUCUCUUGGUUCUGGCAUCGAUGAAGAACGCAGCGAAAUGCGAUAAGUAAUGCGAAUUGCAGAAUUCCGUGAGUCAUCGAAUCUUUGAACGCACAUGCGCCCGCCAGCAUUCUGGCGGGCAUGCCUGUUCGAGCGUCAUUUCGACCCUCAGGCCCUGCCUGGCGUUGGAGGACUGCGCACGCAGCCUCCCAAAGCGAGCGGCGGCGGCGCCCCGAAACCGAACGCAGUAGUUACCUCUCGUUCUGGGUCCGGGUCGUUGUCCUGCCGGAAAACCCCCAUCUCAUCAAUGGUUGACCUCGAAUCAGGUAGGAAUACCCGCUGAACUUAA